UAAAUCAUGAGGGGAGGGAAUACAGUAUGCUGCUGCGCCGUACGCAACGCCAGUGACGGAGCCCGCGGAUGGCGCCGUGACGGGAUUUUCCCCGAGCCGUGGUUCGGGUUGCAGUUAUGCUCCUGAUCCGUGACUCAGGAACUGGAAUCUCCGGCAGUCGGCGGUGGGCAGCCUAGUCAAUGAUGACUCAGACCAAAAACGGAGCUGUCUCCCACCUCUCGCCAAGCUUUUUUGUAUUGUGCGUUGAUGCCCGCGGAGAUCUGCGGUGGAAGGAAUACACGGCGGCGAGAUUCGGCAAUGGAGUUCCUGAUUCAACCAAUUAGGAGGAGCGCGGUGAUGGAAGAGGUGAACGACAACCAGCUACCGGUGGAGCCACUGCACUACCCAGCGGUGGCGACAGCAGCCGAGGAGCUGCCCCCAAUGGGGGCAGAUCUGUGCGGCGGAUGGGGCAGUCGCAGCGGAGGGGAAUGAUGAACCGCAGGCAUCUAAGCAAUCUAUUGGUCAGAUUGAUCCAAAAACUCUAGGCUAGACUCGCAGGGUUAGAAUUGGAGAUGCUGCUCCUGGAAGGGCGCCUUGCCCUGGGCGAACCAGCGCCCUUGAGAAGGCAAUAAGGGGGUUCGGUGACAAGCCGGGAAGCAUUGUAAUCGUGUCAGCACUGGGUACAAGCUUUGAUACACUCAGGGAGGCCUAUGAUUUUUAGAAUCUCAACUCAUGGGAGAGUAGGCUGAAUGUGGAGAGAACAAAAUGCAUGCAGGAAAUUGUUUGCGGAUGUGUGGGUAAAGCUGGUGUGGAAAACACUAGAUCAUGUUGUUGAUUGAGUGCCCGACAUUAAUAAGACUGCUCCGCUCAAAGGACAAUGGGUGGUACAUAGCUGAGCAUUGUGGAUAGCACAAUCAUUCGCUUUCUCCCACAUAUGGCCAGACAAUACACUGGCCUUCACACAAGCACAUUGAUGCGUACAUCAGAGAGUUGGUAGAGCAAUUGCGGCAGAACAAUGUGAAUCUAGCCAAAGUACACAGCAUAAUUGGAAGCUUCUUUGGUUCAAUGGAAAAGGUUCCUUUCACAAAAAGAGCUCUGAAAAAUUUGUAUGGUAAAAUCAAUAGAGAGCAAGCAGAGGAUGAUGUGAGGAAGACCAUGGAGGUGUUCGCGGAUCUGGGCUCAAGAGAUCCGCACUUCACUUAUCAUGUCCAGGCAGACCAGGAUGGUUGGAUAACGACUCUUAUGUGGGCAAAUGGGAGCAGCAGGUUGUAGUACACAUUCUUUGAAGAUGUUGUUACCUUCGAUACGACAUACAGAACAAACCUGUACAACAUGCCAUUUGGUCUGUUCGUGGGUGUGAAUAAUCAUUUCCAGAGCAUCGUCCUAGCCGGUGUUCUGGUCCGUGAUGAAAAGGUCGAGACAUUUUAGUGGGUUUUCACAGAAUUCAUUAGGAUGAUGGGGGGUGGGGGGGGAGUGCAUCGAAGACAAUUCUAACAGAUCAAAGUCGGGUGAUGGAGGUCGCCAUUAAAGAUGUGAUGCCCCAGACGGCACACCAUUGGUGCAAGUGGCAUGUGUUGAAGAAGGCAAAAGAAUCACUCAGUUCAUUGUACACGAAGAAGAGCGAGUUUAGGGAAGAGUUCCACAAGGUAGUAAAUCACAUGCUUACAAAUCGAUGAAUUCGAGGAAGCUUGGAAGAUAUUGGUGGAGGAACGGCUACAUGACGCAGCUAUAUGAUAUAAGACACAAGUGGGCGAAGCCUAAUUUUAAAGGUGUUUUCUGUGCUAAGAUGACCAGCACCCAGCGCAGCGAAAGUGCAAACCACAUGUUGAAGAACUAUGUUCUGCCUGGUUGUCCAAUGCAUAUGUUUGUCAAGAAAGACAUGAGACUUCAGUCUACGAGGAGAAGCAGACACGAAUAGGUAGACCACUGUACAGAGCAACCUUAGCUAUAGAGAGACAUGCUGGUAAAAUAUAGACACGGGUUAUGUUUGAGCAGUUUGGACAUAUUCUCUAUGAGUGCAGCGCAUACCAAGUGGACAAUCUUGAGAAGGGAAAAUUGUAUCUUGCCAUUCAUAUCGAGGCUGCUAGGAGAGAAAAGUGGUGUGGGGUGUCAUAUAAGGUAACUAUUCUCGAAGGUGGUGAUGAAUUCGACUGCGAGUGCGAGCAAUUUGCACACAUGGGACUACUUUGCAGCCAUGUUUUGAAGAUACUGCAGAAACACAUUGUGAAGCGAUGGACCAGGGACGCACGGGACAUACUACCGGCUCACCUUACUCAAUAUCAGAGAGAUAAUGCACACAAAAAUCCAUCCAGCUUCAGGCAUUUCAAUAUGUACAUGCAUGCCAUGGAGUUGGUGCGGAAGGACGAUGCAAGUGUGGAAGCAUAUGAGAAAUUCAUGACUCUCAUUAAGAAUUGCAUGGUCCAAAUGGAACCAUUUGCAGAAAUUAGGGAUGGGCUGGGUUUGGAGGACAGGGUUGGUCAACAUGGAGAUGUUGUUAACCAGCUGACAACACAUACAACAGUUGUUGCAGCAAGUGGAGGUGUAGGCAUGGGGACUCUGAAUGAUGAUGCUACCUCUGCAAAUGAGAGUGGGAACAGACUCACUGGUUUGUUGGCGCCAAAGAAAAGGAAAGAAAUGGAGCGCUCGACAAAUAGCCGCGAGAAGGCACCGUACGAGGGGCCAGCAAACGGACAAGGUUCUGCAGCACAUGUCGGCAGCAGGGGUACAAGAGGACUACCUGCCCGGACUGGGGUGAUGCGCCGAAGCCUGUUCGCAAACCAGCGAGGUGCAAAAGUUGUGGAAUUGAAGGUCAUAGGCGAAACAACUGCCACAAAGUGGGUGAUCUGCGGGUGAUUGGCAUGUGAGGACUUGGAAGAAACUAUCUGUUAAGACUACAAAUCUGUAGAACUAAAUGUGUGCUUGGGUAGUUCCGUCAGUAGAACUUUUCUAGAUUCAUGUUUGCUGAGUGUAUUCAGCAGGUGCUAUGAAUGCCAAAAAUCAGUUAUGUAUUAUCUGAAAAUAAUGCAUGCUUGAACUGGUCUGAAUCUAAACGUUGGAGGGUUUGCAUAAAUGAACGUCCAGAUUUAUGAAUUUUUGUACACCCUGGUGAUGCAUUUUGAAGUUGUGAGCAGUAAGUUGGUGUACAUAUUUUUGAUAUUGUUGGCACUAUGUUGAUGCACUGUGGAAAUUUCAUGACUGGCAAACGUGACUUCCGACAUAAUGAAAUCCUGAAGUCUGAAUUUUUCCAUAGAUCUGGAAGUGAAUUCUGAGAUCCUGAAGCUAAUCAAAUUUCAUAUAAGCUGGUGCAUGUGUUUUGCUGGGCUGCAAUAUAAAUUGUCAGAACUGCUGUGUGAUCAUGGUGUGUGCUCAUUGGAAAAUCAAAUUUGAGCAGAUUUUGGUAUGCUUGCCUAUUGCGGAGUCCCAUGCAGCUAAAUAUUCUGACACGUAGCACUGUGCAUUAUUGACAGUUGUAUGCCUGUGGGUGGCGUCGCGCCCAUUGCUGUACUGACCCCUUUCGAAUUUCAAGCACCAAGAGCGGGGAUAACAGGAGCAUCAAACAGAUUUGAAGCGACGCAGAGCGCAGGGGGUGAGCCAUUCCUCUGUAUUGGUAAACCCAAGUCUGACUAUUACAAGAUAUUGAGCGAGGAGAAAGCGGAUGAAUGGAUCAAGAGGAGUCAGAUUAGUAGGCUGCUGGGAAGCUGAGCAGUAAUAAAUGGGUACAGCCGGUGUUAGUCCAGAAUCUGCGCCCUACAGGCCCAGUCUGUUGGUGGACGUCUGAUCCAUAGCCCAGGUAACUCACGCCGUAUCGAGCCUACAAUGACAGAAGUGGGCCCUUGUAACUAUUCACCACAGCAAAUACGGGAAUAAUACCUGGGCCUAUACAGGAGGGAUUGUGGAUCACGAGGAUUGCCGGCGGGUGGGAUACCGCGACCACCUGUGCUCGAGCACAGAAGAUCACUUUCACAUAAUUAUUCACUUUUCUUUCAAUUGCUCGAUAGUAAUUUGUUCACCCACCGUAAUACUUAUACUAUCUUGAGAGAAUCCCCUAGUGA
Long non-coding RNA from Triticum aestivum (bread wheat), 4031 nucleotides. RefSeq lists it as uncharacterized. The transcript has 7 exons. The record is from RefSeq and is a predicted model, not a curated record. NCBI's taxonomy places the organism in Eukaryota, Viridiplantae, Streptophyta, Magnoliopsida, Poales, Poaceae.